GCGAAAGCAGCACAGAUCUUUCCAGUUGUUUCCAAGCGCAAGGCGGGUGUAAUUGUCACAGGUUUCUGAGCCAAGGCCCGGAGAUGUAAAUCUCCUUGCCGCAGGUUAUGUGUCCCUGGCAGCGCCGGGCAAGGGGUCUAUGUCCCAAAGCGCCUUGGCUUAUUCGGUUUCCUCUGCCAGGAACGACAGUUCUUCACUCUUGGGCUUAAACUCAUCUGUCCUUCCGGAUCCAGCUCAAAUUCUGUCUCUGAUGCCCUCCGGGAACUCCCCGCCUCACGCGCCCCUCCUCCCCUCCGAAUUUCUUCUUCUGAACGCCCAAGGUUCUUUGAUAACUAUUAUGGCCUUUACCUAAUACGUUGUAUCAGAUUGUAUUUGUUAUUGUCAGUACUCUAUGAGAGCCUUGAAAGCAAAAGUUCAGCCGUCUGCAUUGGUCAUCUUCCUGUAGCCAGUGUCCAGUAAGGCCUUGAACCAUUGUAAGAAGCUCAGUAAAUGUAUAUUGAGGCAGGCUACGGUCUAGUCCAGGACUCUUCUUCACUAAAUCAUGACUACGUUGAUGUGCUAGAUAGCAGCCUCUCCUUGAAUAUAUAAACACUUGACCCUGUGGGCCACUGCAGAGGGGGAAGGAUCUGAAACUACUUGAGAAUGGUGUUGACAUUGAGAAUGAUUGGAUUCUGCAGCUACCCUUAGCCACCAUCCUGGGUGUGCCAGCAGGGACUAGGGCAUCUCCAGAAGACCGCAAAGCCAGGGACAAGUGACCCUCUGUCCGGUUCUUCCACCUCCAAUAUUUUCAUGUUCAUGAUUAGAGAUUAGUGAAACUAAAGAGCAUAUUAAAGGGAAAAGAGGUCAUCAAAGGAUAAUGAGCAGCCUGAGUGGGGCUUGAGAUAAUGUACCUGAAAUUGCUUUUUUAAAAUAUAAAAGCAUCAGAUACAUGGAUGAAUGUAAGGUACACGAAGGCUUCAGCAGGGAAUCCCAGUACCUUCUUCCACUGGCUUUUGUGGUGGAGGAUAGGGCAGGCACUAUGCUGGGGCAGGUGCUUGGUUAUUCAUCUCUAGGCAGUCUUCUGCAGAAAAAGUUCUGGGUGUGUGCAACAAAGUAUAGGGUAGUGGGAAAGGGAGGACUCAAAAAUAGUAGGAAAGCAAAGGAGUGGUGACUCUUGAUACACUGUCUCAUCUCCUGAUCUUUACUCAAAUGUCACCUUUUCAGUACGUUUUUCCUGAUCUAUAUAAAACUGUAACUCAUUCCCUAGCCUCCUAUUCAUGUUUUUUUUCUAUACUAUAUAUUACCACCUAACAUACUCUAUUUGUUAUAUUUUUAUGUUGUUAUCUUUUUCUUCCCAUCAAGAAUGAAAGCUCCGUGGGCCGGGGGAUUCAACAUCUGGAACAAUGCCCAUUCCCGUGCCCAUUAUCUGUGGAGUGAAUAAAUGAUCAGCUAUCUCAUUUUCUUCCCUUUAGUUCUUUCUCUGCUCUGAAUAUUUGCAAAAUUAAGAAAGGAAGAAUAUAGGCAAAAUAUAAUAGAGAAAGUCCUAGAGAUUAAGACUGAAGAGUGAAAUAGCCAACAGGAUGGACUCUACUUACACUGAGAUGCUGUUGAUUUUUUCCCCAAGCAGGCAUUAGGACAUGUGAUCUUGCAUGGGCAGGGAUGUUUAUGGGGCCUGCAGGACAGGUUAUUUUGAAUGGUGAUUAUUCCUGGAAGAUGUGGGAUGAACAGUUAAUAUGACUGUUCAUACUACACGUAAAGAUAUUGGGAACCCUCACAGGCACCUGAUGGUAAACCCCAGAGAUAGGACCAAGCAGUUUAGUUUUCUUUCUGGCAGCAAGAUCCAGGAACUUUACCUGCGUUGCUCUUUGACACUACUCAUACUUCCUCGAGGUUCUUCUUCCUCCCCAAAUUAGUAAGUGAUUAAGCUGGGAUUGAAGUCUCUUUGAUUUCUUUCCCUCGUGCUGUGGGAAGAUGCUGGGAAGGAAAAAACAGGGGUAGAACAAGAACCACGACUGGGAAGGAAGAAAGAGGAGAACAUGGGAGAGAACAAGGAAACAACCACAGUCCUUGGACACCUACUAGUCUGUGAUUUGGCUCCAGGAGGUUUAUUCCUUUAUAACCUUUUAAGAUUAUACACAAUUUUCAGGUGCUUUCUCCCAACUCUCUUCCAGAUAGAGGUUUUGACCUUUAACAGAUUUUCAAAGAGGUUUGUGACUCAAAAAGAUUUUGAAUCCAACACUGAGCCAUGCAGUUUGUCUAGAGUUUGUUCUAAUGAAGCAUUUUUAAAUGGAUUCCCCCCUCCCCCACCCCACCCCCCACUUAAAAUAGGGAAAGGGAGGACAGAACUCUGUCUGAACCACUUAUAAAAGUCUGGCUAAUAAAAACAAAAGUGUGGCUAUAAGAAACAUGGUGAAAUAAGCUAGUUUUCUCAGCCCUUUCUGUGAAAGCAGAAGUUAUGGCUGUUCAAUUGCUAUUACUAGAAGUCAUUGUGAAAUAUUGAAGUCUAGUAGAUUUCCAGGUCUGAGGACAAAGUAUGGUUUGCUUUUACAGUCUUCUGCCUUAUCUUCAAAAUAUCUGGGGAUUUGUGACAGGAACAUGAAUUCUUCUCUCCCAGUGACUGUUUUCAUCCAUAUAUUCUUAUAUAUUUGAGUAGUGCUUUGCCAAAUAUUUUUACAUGUGUAUUAUUUCAAACAGCUCUGUGAAGUAGGCAGGGCAGGAAUGAUGAUCAAGUGCCACCUUUCUCUUUAUUUUCAGGUGUGAAAACAGAGACCUAGAGAAUUUAAGUGACUCCUUCCUGGUUGCAUGGGUAAUGAGUGACAGUCCCAGGGCUGGGAUUGUGCAGUUGUUGCUGGCCCUCUGAUUUUUGUGUGGGAGGAUACAACCUUUACAGUUCUUCGAGUAAAGUUACUCUUCAGGAAAUCAGAUAAUGAUGACAGAAAACUUUCAGAUGAAGAUUAAUUUAAUCAUCAGAUGCGCCUGGGGGUGUCUUCUAUUGUUUGCUCAAAACAUCUGGUUUCUACCUGCAUAAAUUAUUAUCUCAAAAGGAAAGAAUUCGGUUAUGUGAAUAGUGAUUCCUCUUUAAAGGUUUGUUUAUAAUUGCUUUCUUUUUUAAGUAGAAAAAUCCUUUUAGAUGUAAUUAGUCAUGGAAUAAUGAUGACUCAAUGUGUUUCUUGACAUAAUACAAUCAUAUUUAAACAGACCCUUCCCUUUUCCUUACAGUGUUCAGCCAUUGAGUAAAAUUUUAAAGACUUAACUAAACCAUCUUAAUGCUUACAAUUUCUGACAAAAAUUUAAGGGAAAAAGAAGACUAUUUGGAUAAUAAAUAAAGUAGAACCUGUACUUAAUUUCUGAUUUUAAGCUCCCUUUGUCAAAAAAAAAAUACACCUACAAUUAUAUUCAGA
Molecule: long non-coding RNA, 3380 nt
Organism: Bubalus bubalis (water buffalo)
Lineage: Eukaryota; Metazoa; Chordata; Mammalia; Artiodactyla; Bovidae
Exons: 2
Source: RefSeq, a predicted model, not a curated record